ACACUCCUACGGGAGGCAGCAGUGGGGAAUUUUGGACAAUGGGCGAAAGCCUGAUCCAGCAAUGCCGCGUGAGUGAAGAAGGCCUUCGGGUUGUAAAGCUCUUUUGUCAGGGAAGAAACGGUGAGAGCUAAUAUCUCUUGCUAAUGACGGUACCUGAAGAAUAAGCACCGGCUAACUACGUGCCAGCAGCCGCGGUAAUACGUAGGGUGCAAGCGUUAAUCGGAAUUACUGGGUGUAAAGCGUGCGCAGGCGGUUUUGUAAGUCUGAUGUGAAAUCCCCGGGCUCAACCUGGGAAUUGCAUUGGAGACUGCAAGGCUAGAAUCUGGCAGAGGGGGGUAGAAUUCCACGUGUAGCAGUGAAAUGCGUAGAUAUGUGGAGGAACACCGAUGGCGAAGGCAGCCCCCUGGGUCAAGAUUGACGCUCAUACACGAAAGCGUGGGGAGCAAACAGGAUUAGAUACCCUUGUAGUCCCAUGAU
This 477-nucleotide ribosomal RNA is filed under the name uncultured organism. RNAcentral's name for it is "partial 16S ribosomal RNA". It matches the Rfam family "Bacterial small subunit ribosomal RNA", at positions 333 to 801 of the family's 1533-position model. The record is from RNAcentral.